Caenorhabditis elegans is the source of this 21-nucleotide non-coding RNA. The record is from Ensembl. Lineage: Eukaryota; Metazoa; Nematoda; Chromadorea; Rhabditida; Rhabditidae.
UCAAUCUUUUUUUCGCAUUCC